CAUCUUCCUUUAUUUGCAGUACCCAUGCCAUUAGCAGUAACAUUAAGGCAUUUGUCGCUGUCAUUUUCAGUCACAAGGAGGGAAGGGAUUAGGUAUGUCGCAGCAUGGCAGUAUCCACAGUGCCGGCGGAGGGACCGACUUCCACUUACCGGAUGAGAUCUUGGCUGUGAUGCCGACGGACCCUUACGACCAGCUAGAUCUGGCCCGUAAGAUCACGUCCAUGGCCAUCGCCUCGCGAGUAUCGAAGCUGGAGGCCGAGACGGGUCGCAUGAGGCAGAAAAUUUACGAGCAGGAUCGAAUUAUAUAUGAACUUGAAGAGAAAGCGUCUAACAUGCAACGCGCGCAUCUAGGGGCGGAGUCCAGGUUGAAGAUUAGCCUUGAUGAAAAUAUGAAACUUUCAAAGGAGGAUUCAUUGGUGAUGAGUGUGAAGAAACUCAGCUGUGAUUUGGCAAAGUUGGAGACCUUUAAGAGGCAAUUGAUGCAAUCACUAAAUGAUGAUAAUUUAUCAGCUGAAACUGUUGAUAUUGGCACUUGUGAUCAGUCAGUUCCCAAAGCGUAUCCUGACAAAGAUGAGGGGAUGAAUGGCUAUGCAUCCCAAAAUUCUCAUAGCGGCUCUACUGAUACAGGAAACACAGUCGGUGAUGCUUCAAGACAUGGUGGGCAAAGAUUUUCUAUUACUCCAUAUAUCACACCAAGGCUUACUCCAACAGGAACCCCAAAAAUCAUUUCUUCAAGUGUGUCCCCUAGAGGUUUUUCUGCUGCUGGAUCUCCUCAGAGAACCUCUGGCACAACAUCUCCCACAAAACCUUAUAAUGAGGGACGGACUACACUCUCUUCAUGGUACCCAUCAAGCCAGCAGUCAUCAGCAGCAAACUCUCCUCCCCGUGGACGACCAUUGCCAGCACGCACUCCACGAAUUGAUGGAAAGGAGUUCUUUCGCCAGGCCAGGGGUCGUCUAUCAUAUGAACAGUUUAGUUCAUUUCUGGCUAACAUCAAGGAGCUGAAUGCUCAAAAGCAGACUCGAGAAGAAACCUUAAGGAAAGCAGAAGAGAUAUUUGGGAUGGAUAACAAAGAUCUUUACUUGUUGUUCCAAGGAUUGCUUAAUCGCAACAUUCAUUAGACCUUAAAUUAUGUCCAGUUAAGAUGUUUUACAGUACUUGGGUGUGCUUACUCGUUAGGGAUCAAACUUAAGUCCAACAUUCCACCUAUAAGAGAGGAUACCUUAUGAUAAAUUCUCCAAGAUGUAAUUUAUUGACGGCAUCAACUUGUAUCUUAGUGGUUUAUGUUUAAGCAUCUAGGAUUGCAAGCUUCAUUUCGUACGUACAUGCAGGUAUGUUAUGUAAAUAAACAUCUGUUUUUUAGCAUUACCUGCUCGGAUAUUAAGAAGUACUGGUUGACAUUAUUUUCGCAAGAUUUUGAUAUUUUCAAUUUGGAAAUGAACAGGUUUAUUUUCUUCAAUGAAUUAUCGUCCUCUCUCGUUCUCUCCA
This is an RNA transcript of Hevea brasiliensis (rubber tree), 1487 nucleotides long. RefSeq lists it as uncharacterized. The transcript is spliced from 10 exons. Lineage: Eukaryota; Viridiplantae; Streptophyta; Magnoliopsida; Malpighiales; Euphorbiaceae. The record is from RefSeq and is a predicted model, not a curated record.